GCCGCCGUAGCUCAGCCCGGGAGAGCACCCGGCUGAAGACCGGGUUGUCCGGGGUUCAAGUCCCCGCGGCGGCA
This 74-nucleotide transfer RNA is filed under the name Metallosphaera sedula. Its description in RNAcentral is "tRNA-Phe (GAA) (tRNA-Phe-GAA-1-1)". It matches the Rfam family "tRNA". Rfam says of the family: Transfer RNA (tRNA) molecules are approximately 80 nucleotides in length. Their secondary structure includes four short double-helical elements and three loops (D, anti-codon, and T loops). Lineage: Archaea; Thermoproteati; Thermoproteota; Thermoprotei; Sulfolobales; Sulfolobaceae. The record is from RNAcentral. RNAcentral also lists the same sequence under 7 other names.